GUUAUAUGGUCAAGUGAAGAAGCGCAUACGGUGGAUGCCUUGGCAGUCAGAGGCGAUGAAAGACGUGGUAGCCUGCGAAAAGCUUCGGGGAGUCGGCAAACAGACUGUGAUCCGGAGAUGUCUGAAUGGGGGAACCCAGCUGUCAUAAGACAGUUACCUUACACUGAAUACAUAGGUGUAUGGAGCGAACCAGGGGAACUGAAACAUCUAAGUACCCUGAGGAAAAGAAAUCAACCGAGAUUCCCUUAGUAGUGGCGAGCGAACGGGGACCAGCCCUUAAGUUGAUUUGAGAUUAGCGGAACGCUCUGGAAAGUGCGGCCAUAGUGGGUGAUAGCCCUGUACGCGAAAAUCUCUUGUCAAUGAAAUCGAGUAGGACGGGGCACGAGAAACCUUGUCUGAACAUGGGGGGACCAUCCUCCAAGGCUAAAUACUACUGACUGACCGAUAGUGAACCAGUACCGUGAGGGAAAGGCGAAAAGAACCGCGGAGAGCGGAGUGAAAUAGAUCCUGAAACCGUAUGCGUACAAGCAGUGGGAGCCCACUUUGUUGGGUGACUGCGUACCUUUUGUAUAAUGGGUCAGCGACUUAUUUUCAGUGGCGAGCUUAACCGAAUAGGGGAGGCGUAGCGAAAGCGAGUCUUAAUAGGGCGUCUAGUCGCUGGGAAUAGACCCGAAACCGGGCGAUCUAUCCAUGGGCAGGUUGAAGGUUGGGUAACACUAACUGGAGGACCGAACCGACUACCGUUGAAAAGUUAGCGGAUGACCUGUGGAUCGGAGUGAAAGGCUAAUCAAGCUCGGAGAUAGCUGGUUCUCCUCGAAAGCUAUUUAGGUAGCGCCUCAUGUAUCACUGUAGGGGGUAGAGCACUGUUUCGGCUAGGGGGUCAUCCCGACUUACCAAACCGAUGCAAACUCCGAAUACCUACAAGUGCCGAGCAUGGGAGACACACGGCGGGUGCUAACGUCCGUCGUGAAAAGGGAAACAACCCAGACCGUCAGCUAAGGUCCCAAAGUCAUGGUUAAGUGGGAAACGAUGUGGGAAGGCUUAGACAGCUAGGAGGUUGGCUUAGAAGCAGCCACCCUUUAAAGAAAGCGUAAUAGCUCACUAGUCGAGUCGGCCUGCGCGGAAGAUGUAACGGGGCUCAAACCAUGCACCGAAGCUACGGGUAUCAUCUUAGGAUGAUGCGGUAGAGGAGCGUUCUGUAAGCCUGUGAAGGUGAGUUGAGAAGCUUGCUGGAGGUAUCAGAAGUGCGAAUGCUGACAUGAGUAACGACAAUGGGUGUGAAAAACACCCACGCCGAAAGACCAAGGUUUCCUGCGCAACGUUAAUCGACGCAGGGUUAGUCGGUCCCUAAGGCGAGGCUGAAAAGCGUAGUCGAUGGAAAACAGGUUAAUAUUCCUGUACUUCUGGUUAUUGCGAUGGAGGGACGGAGAAGGCUAGGCCAGCCUGGCGUUGGUUGUCCAGGUUUAAGGUGGUAGGCUGAAAUCUUAGGUAAAUCCGGGGUUUCAAGGCCGAGAGCUGAUGACGAGUGUUCUUUAGAACACGAAGUGGUUGAUGCCAUGCUUCCAAGAAAAGCUUCUAAGCUUCAGGUAACCAGGAACCGUACCCCAAACCGACACAGGUGGUUGGGUAGAGAAUACCAAGGCGCUUGAGAGAACUCGGGUGAAGGAACUAGGCAAAAUGGCACCGUAACUUCGGGAGAAGGUGCGCCGGUGAGGGUGAAGGACUUGCUCCGUAAGCUCAUGCCGGUCGAAGAUACCAGGCCGCUGCGACUGUUUAUUAAAAACACAGCACUCUGCAAACACGAAAGUGGACGUAUAGGGUGUGACGCCUGCCCGGUGCCGGAAGGUUAAUUGAUGGGGUUAGCUAACGCGAAGCUCUUGAUCGAAGCCCCGGUAAACGGCGGCCGUAACUAUAACGGUCCUAAGGUAGCGAAAUUCCUUGUCGGGUAAGUUCCGACCUGCACGAAUGGCGUAACGAUGGCGGCGCUGUCUCCACCCGAGACUCAGUGAAAUUGAAAUCGCUGUGAAGAUGCAGUGUAUCCGCGGCUAGACGGAAAGACCCCGUGAACCUUUACUAUAGCUUUGCACUGGACUUUGAAUUUGCUUGUGUAGGAUAGGUGGGAGGCUUUGAAGCGUGGACGCCAGUCUGCGUGGAGCCAACCUUGAAAUACCACCCUGGCAACUUUGAGGUUCUAACUCAGGUCCGUUAUCCGGAUCGAGGACAGUGUAUGGUGGGUAGUUUGACUGGGGCGGUCUCCUCCUAAAGAGUAACGGAGGAGUACGAAGGUGCGCUCAGACCGGUCGGAAAUCGGUCGUAGAGUAUAAAGGCAAAAGCGCGCUUGACUGCGAGACAGACACGUCGAGCAGGUACGAAAGUAGGUCUUAGUGAUCCGGUGGUUCUGUAUGGAAGGGCCAUCGCUCAACGGAUAAAAGGUACUCCGGGGAUAACAGGCUGAUACCGCCCAAGAGUUCAUAUCGACGGCGGUGUUUGGCACCUCGAUGUCGGCUCAUCACAUCCUGGGGCUGAAGCCGGUCCCAAGGGUAUGGCUGUUCGCCAUUUAAAGUGGUACGCGAGCUGGGUUUAGAACGUCGUGAGACAGUUCGGUCCCUAUCUGCCGUGGACGUUUGAGAUUUGAGAGGGGCUGCUCCUAGUACGAGAGGACCGGAGUGGACGAACCUCUGGUGUUCCGGUUGUCACGCCAGUGGCAUUGCCGGGUAGCUAUGUUCGGAAAAGAUAACCGCUGAAAGCAUCUAAGCGGGAAACUUGCCUCAAGAUGAGAUCUCACUGGAACCUUGAGUUCCCUGAAGGGCCGUCGAAGACUACGACGUUGAUAGGUUGGGUGUGUAAGCGCUGUGAGGCGUUGAGCUAACCAAUACUAAUUGCCCGUGAGGCUUGACCAUAUAACACCCAAGCA
Molecule: ribosomal RNA, 2914 nt
Filed under: Pseudomonas graminis
Lineage: Bacteria; Pseudomonadati; Pseudomonadota; Gammaproteobacteria; Pseudomonadales; Pseudomonadaceae
Description: bacterial LSU rRNA
Rfam family: Bacterial large subunit ribosomal RNA
Source: RNAcentral